Molecule: non-coding RNA, 470 nt
Organism: Pelobates cultripes (western spadefoot toad)
Lineage: Eukaryota; Metazoa; Chordata; Amphibia; Anura; Pelobatidae
Source: the annotation of a GenBank genome assembly
AAUAACUUCCUCUUCCACUGAUUGCUCUGAAGCUUCCACCUUAAGUUUCUCAGCCUUCUCAGACAGUGUUUUGGAAGAAGUAUGUUGUUUACCACAUUUCCUACGUGGUGGCCUUUUGACAGGAGGAUCAUCUUCUACGAGAUUAGCUUCCAACUUCAGUGGCCCAGCCUUGUCGUCAAUUGCAUCACCCGAAGCAACUUUUAUAGGUGACUCUCCCAGUUUCGAGUCUCCAGUAUUAGAUGACUCAGGAAGAGGUGUCGAAAUUGGAACUUCUGAUUUUAUAGAUUCAGUAUUGUCCAUUGGAGCAUGAACUGCAUUGUCCUUUGCGGGACUGAUAUCCAGAUCUGAUCCAGUUACCUGGUCAAGGUUACUAGUGGUCUCCUCAAUUGUCACUGUGAUGGAGGAAUUAGUUUCUCUGGUUGUUGUCUCAGGUGAGUCUGUUUCUGCUUCAUGGCUGGGCAGACUUUGCU